Molecule: ribosomal RNA, 507 nt
Filed under: uncultured bacterium
Lineage: Bacteria
Description: bacterial SSU rRNA
Rfam family: Bacterial small subunit ribosomal RNA
Source: RNAcentral
AUGGCGUCAGGAUGAACGCUAGCGACAGGCUUAACACAUGCAAGUCGAGGGGCAGACAUAAAAGUAGCAAUACUUGGUGGCGACCGGCGCACGGGUGAGUAACGCGUAUGCAACCUACCUAUCAGAGGGGAGUAACCCGGCGAAAGUCGGACUAAUACCGCAUAAACAGGGGCACCGCAUGGUGAUAUUUGUUAAAGAAAUUCGCUGAUAGAUGGGCAUGCGUUCCAUUAGGUAGUUGGUGAGGUAACGGCUCACCAAGCCGACGAUGGAUAGGGGAACUGAGAGGUUGGUCCCCACACUGGUACUGAGACACGGACCAGACUCCUACGGGAGGCAGCAGUGAGGAAUAUUGGUCAAUGGGCGGGAGCCUGAACCAGCCAAGUCGCGUGAAAGGAAGAAGGAUCUAUGGUUCGUAAACUUCUUUUGCAGGGGAAUAAAGUGCAGGACGUGUCCUGUUUUGUAUGUACCCUGAGAAUAAGGAUCGGCUAACUCCGUGCCAGCCGCAGC